Molecule: ribosomal RNA, 253 nt
Filed under: uncultured bacterium
Lineage: Bacteria
Description: partial 16S ribosomal RNA
Rfam family: Bacterial small subunit ribosomal RNA
Source: RNAcentral
GACAGAGGAUGCAAGCGUUAUCCGGAAUGAUUGGGCGUAAAGCGUCUGUAGGUGGCUUUUAAGUCUGCCGUCAAAUCCCAGGGCUUAACCCUGGACAGGCGGUGGAAACUACCAAGCUGGAGUACGGUAGGGGCAGGGGGAAUUUCCGGUGGAGCGGUGAAAUGGCGUAGAGAUCGGAAAGAACACCAACGGCGAAAGCACUCUGCUGGGCCGACACUGACACUGAGAGACGAAAGCUAGGGGAGCGAAUGGG